AAGUUCUCAUAAUUCAAAACG
This 21-nucleotide microRNA is filed under the name Medicago truncatula (barrel medic). RNAcentral describes it as "mtr-miR7696d-5p". Lineage: Eukaryota; Viridiplantae; Streptophyta; Magnoliopsida; Fabales; Fabaceae. The record is from miRBase by way of RNAcentral.